This 498-nucleotide ribosomal RNA is filed under the name uncultured bacterium. RNAcentral's name for it is "partial 16S ribosomal RNA". It matches the Rfam family "Bacterial small subunit ribosomal RNA", at positions 29 to 523 of the family's 1533-position model. The record is from RNAcentral.
AUUGAACGCUGGCGGCAUGCCUUACACAUGCAAGUCGAACGGUAACGGGCCUUCGGGUGCCGACGAGUGGCGAACGGGUGAGUAGUGCAUCGGAACGUACCCAUCAGUGGGGGAUAACUCUCCGAAAGGAGGGCUAAUACCCCAUAUCCUGUGCGCAGGAAAGCGGGGGACCGCAAGGCCUCGCGCUGAUGGAGCGGCCGAUGUCCGAUUAGCUCGUUGGUGGGGUAAAGGCCUACCAAGGCGACGAUCGGUAGCGGGUCUGAGAGGAUGAUCCGCCACACUGGGACUGAGACACGGCCCAGACUCCUACGGGAGGCAGCAGUGGGGAAUUUUGGACAAUGGGGGCAACCCUGAUCCAGCCAUGCCGCGUGAGUGAAGAAGGCCUUCGGGUUGUAAAGCUCUUUCGGCCGGGAAGAAAUCGCAUCUCCUAAUACGGGGUGUGGAUGACGGUACCGGAAUAAGAAGCACCGGCUAACUACGUGCCAGCCGCCGCGGUAA